AGCACGUGGUUUAAUUCGAUGACAAACCGAAGAACCUUACCUGGGUUUGACAUGUACGUGGUACGGAUAUGAAAGUUGAAGGACUCCGCUUUCGGGUGGAGAGCGUACACAGGUGCUGCAUGGCUGUCGUCAGCUCGUGUCGUGAGAUGUUGGGUUAAGUCCCGCAACGAGUGCAACCCCUGCAUUCAGUUGCCAUCGGGUGAAGCCGGGCACUCUGGAAGGACUGCCAUCGACAAGAUGGAGGAAGUGGGGACGACGUCAAGUCAUCAUGGCCCUUAUGUCCAGGGCGACACACGUGCUACAAUGGCCGGCACAACGGGAAGCGAGUUCGCGAGGACGAGCGGAUCCCUUAAAGCCGGUCGCAGUUCGGAUUGAAGUCUGCAACUCGACUUCAUGAAGCUGGAAUCGCUAGUAAUCGCAGAUCAGCCAAGCUGCGGUGAAUACGUUCCCGGGCCUU
This 457-nucleotide ribosomal RNA is filed under the name uncultured Synergistaceae bacterium. Its description in RNAcentral is "bacterial SSU rRNA". It matches the Rfam family "Bacterial small subunit ribosomal RNA", at positions 936 to 1382 of the family's 1533-position model. The record is from RNAcentral. Lineage: Bacteria; Thermotogati; Synergistota; Synergistia; Synergistales; Synergistaceae.